GUUGAAUCCCGGCACUGAAGU
RNAcentral lists this non-coding RNA (21 nucleotides) under Caenorhabditis elegans. Lineage: Eukaryota; Metazoa; Nematoda; Chromadorea; Rhabditida; Rhabditidae. The record is from RNAcentral.